This 600-nucleotide ribosomal RNA is filed under the name uncultured bacterium. Its description in RNAcentral is "bacterial SSU rRNA". It matches the Rfam family "Bacterial small subunit ribosomal RNA", at positions 91 to 677 of the family's 1533-position model. The record is from RNAcentral.
CGAGUUGGCGAGCGGGUGAGUAAUACAUCGGAACGUGCGAUCGUGGGGGAUAACGGAGCGAAAGCUUUGCUAAUACCGCAUACGAUCUACGGAUGAAAGCGGGGGAUCUUCGGACCUCGCGCGGACGGAGCGGCCGAUGGCAGAUUAGGUAGUUGGUGGGAUAAAAGCUUACCAAGCCGACGAUCUGUAGCUGGUCUGAGAGGAUGAUCAGCCACACUGGGACUGAGACACGGCCCAGACUCCUACGGGAGGCAGCAGUGGGGAAUUUUGGACAAUGGGGGCAACCCUGAUCCAGCCAUGCCGCGUGCAGGAUGAAGGCCUUCGGGUUGUAAACUGCUUUUGUACGGAACGAAAAGACUCUGGUUAAUACCUGGGGUCCAUGACGGUACCGUAAGAAUAAGCACCGGCUAACUACGUGCCAGCAGCCGCGGUAAUACGUGGGGUGCAAGCGUUAAUCGGAAUUACUGGGCGUAAAGCGUGCGCAGGCGGUGAUGUAAGACAGAGGUGAAAUCCCCGGGCUCAAACCUGGGGAACUGGCUUUGUGACUGGGAUCCGGUUGGGAGUUGCGGGCAAAGGGGGGGAUUGGGAAUUCCCCGGGUU